This 112-nucleotide non-coding RNA is filed under the name Thiomonas sp. X19. Its description in RNAcentral is "Glycine riboswitch aptamer". It matches the Rfam family "Glycine riboswitch aptamer". Rfam says of the family: This family represents the bacterial glycine riboswitch. Glycine riboswitches usually consist of two metabolite-binding aptamers domains with similar structures in tandem. The record is from Rfam by way of RNAcentral. Lineage: Bacteria; Pseudomonadati; Pseudomonadota; Betaproteobacteria; Burkholderiales. RNAcentral also lists the same sequence under 1 other name.
UGGCUGUCGUCAGGAGAGAGUCGAAGUGCCGUUGCGCGGCGCCUUGGCCGCCGAAGGCGUAAACCCGGGAUCGCCGGGUGUACCGCUCAGGCAAAAGGACUGAUGACACCCU